GCGCAGCAGGCGAGAAUUUUUCUCAAUGGGGGGCAACCCUGAAGGAGCGACGCCGCGUGGAGGAUGAAGGCUUUCGGGUUGUAAACUCCUGUCAUUUGAGAACAAGUGUAGCCAAGUAACUACUGGCUACUUGAUAGUAUCAGAAGAGGAAGGGACGGCUAACUCUGUGCCAGCAGCCGCGGUAAUACAGAGGUCCCGAGCGUUGUUCGGAUUCAUUGGGCGUAAAGGGUGCGUAGGUGGCGUGGUAAGUCGGGUGUGAAAUUUCGGAGCUUAACUUCGAAACUGCAUUCGAUACUGCCGUGCUUGAGGACUGGAGAGGAGACUGGAAUUUACGGUGUAGCAGUGAAAUGCGUAGAGAUCGUAAGGAAGACCAGUGGCGAAGGCGGGUCUCUGGACAGUUCCUGACACUGAGGCACGAAGGCUAGGGGAGCAAACGGGAUUAGAUACCCGCGUAG
RNAcentral lists this ribosomal RNA (455 nucleotides) under uncultured organism. Its description in RNAcentral is "bacterial SSU rRNA". It matches the Rfam family "Bacterial small subunit ribosomal RNA", at positions 346 to 793 of the family's 1533-position model. The record is from RNAcentral.